This 253-nucleotide ribosomal RNA is filed under the name uncultured bacterium. Its description in RNAcentral is "partial 16S ribosomal RNA". It matches the Rfam family "Bacterial small subunit ribosomal RNA", at positions 524 to 776 of the family's 1533-position model. The record is from RNAcentral.
UACAGAGGUGGCAAGCGUUGUUCGGAAUUACUGGGCGUAAAGGGCGCGUAGGCGGCCAUCUAAGUCAGACGUGAAAUCCCCCGGCUUAACCUGGGAACUGCGUCUGAUACUGGAAGGCUCGAGUUUGGGAGAGGGAUGUGGAAUUCCAGGUGUAGCGGUGAAAUGCGUAGAUAUCGUUUGGAACGCCAAUGGUGAAAACAGAUUGCUGGGAGUGUGCUGACGCUGAGACACGAAAGCCAGGGGAGCAAACGGG